UACGUAGGCAGCGAGCGUUGUUCGGAGUUACUGGGCGUAAAGCGUGCGUAGGCGGUGUCUUAAGUUUGUUGUGAAAUCUCCCGGCUUAACCGGGAGGGUGCGGCGAAUACUGAGAUGCUGGAGUGCCGGAGAGGUAAGCGGAAUUCCUGGUGUAGCGGUGAAAUGCGUAAAUAUCAGGAGGAACACCUGCGGUGUAGACGGCUUACUGGACGGUAACUGACGCUGAGGCACGAAAGCGUGGGUAGCAAACAGG
Molecule: ribosomal RNA, 253 nt
Filed under: uncultured bacterium
Lineage: Bacteria
Description: partial 16S ribosomal RNA
Rfam family: Bacterial small subunit ribosomal RNA
Source: RNAcentral